GCAAAGCAUACUCGAAUCAGACACAUUCGCUUACUCACGCAUUCGAGGGAAUAUUCAGCAUGAUCAUCGCGGCCGGCGGUAAUUACGCUGGACAUACGCAAGCUUCACGAAGGUCACAGAUAGAAGACAGCCUCUAAGUUCCCGCCAGGGGUGUCACCACGCACCACCACGAAUCCAUUCCCAGUGUAACUAGGGCUGAAUUUGGACUGUUUAGUUACCCCGUGGUACAGACGGCCAUACACCCUCCCCCGUCUAUGCAGUCAGGAUCUAGUGCACUGGCCCUCGUGUGACUGCUAAGGCACCCCCCGCCCAUGCCGACCCUAGGCCGACACGAGUACAGCUCGUUCUUUAGAGAGGUUGCCACGCCCUCGGGCUGCACCUUUAUUUUGUGCCUGGAUACCCUCUUGCAACCAAGGGUUAGGAGGGGUCACAGGAUAGAAUGAAGGAGCUCAGAUUGAGAAAAAGGGCCAUGGAUGAGAACACGAGGUGAGCCGUUUCGGGGUCUCGAGUCUCAAACCACACUAUACCACCCGUCGUCGUCGUAGUUCCACACAUAGUGGGCCACGACUCCCAGGGUGGGUUGCCACCAGUGACAACAGGCAGAGGGCUCGCAUCAAAGCUGAAGAAGGUCCUCAGGCCCAAGACCCAGAGCUACAACCUGGUGACACACAUCAUUUCUGCAGCGUUCUGUGCCUCGACCCCAGCCCUUCCGGCGCCCGUCAAAGGCCACUGAAUUCGAACCCGAGAUCUUUACCUUACAGUCAUGAGCGCCAUGUCAACACCUAAACCGUCGCGACCACCGACACCCCUCAAGUGACUUCUCCAAACGAUAUCCACAUCACAAUUUUUAACAUCCUAGAAGUGUUUUAUUUAAAGACAUUUAUAAGGGAAGCCUUGAAAUUUUUGGUAUAUCAUAUAAUAAAUAAAUAUGUAAAUAAAGAAUAACAAUCCA
Cimex lectularius (bed bug) is the source of this 952-nucleotide long non-coding RNA. RefSeq lists it as uncharacterized. The transcript is spliced from 2 exons. Lineage: Eukaryota; Metazoa; Arthropoda; Insecta; Hemiptera; Cimicidae. The record is from RefSeq and is a predicted model, not a curated record.